AGUAGAUGAUGAUAAUAAUACUAAUAAUGAUGAUGAUUAUGAUGAUGAUGAUGAUUAUGAUGAUGAUAAUGAUGAUGAUAAUGGUAAUAACAAUCCAAAUGGAAAGAGCAAGGAGGUGGAAAAACACGGAAAAUUAGUUAAGAUUAUCACCAAAACCGAUACACAGACAUCUCUGGCCAAAGUCUUGGAACAGUCGGGCUAUUUGUUCCAUUACAGGGUCAUGCACCGAACACCAAAGGACAAGACAGCAAUGCCAGUCCGGCAACACUCCUGACUGGCAACUGCACAUCCUCCGUCUUAUCACCCCGCGCCGCGCCCUCUGCCAUUGCCCUCUGGCGACGGCGUCCUCCUGCGGCCAAUUCUGUGUCGGAGCGUGUCGCAUGCGGGCCUGCGGCUUCCACGCCCCUGCGUCUGCGUCUUCAAAGCUGAGGGCUCUGCGGCUGCCAGGGACGAUGGUGGACUCGUGACUUCGGAAGACAUCUGUCGGUUUGUCUGAGUGUCUGCCUCGCCUGUCCUUCGUCACUGCUGUCACGGCAUGCCUCAGCGCGAGGACGAAGCAGGGCAGCCGAGCGCAAGGUCCAUCUGGGUGAGACUUCGAAACGCGAUCGUACACGUUUUGAGAUGUCUCUUCGCCUUCUUCUUCUCGUCGUCGCAUCUUCGCAACAGAAGCCCGGCAAGAGAAGUCGUUGUGAGUUUUUUUAUUAUAUUCU
Molecule: non-coding RNA, 710 nt
Organism: Penaeus vannamei (Pacific white shrimp)
Lineage: Eukaryota; Metazoa; Arthropoda; Malacostraca; Decapoda; Penaeidae
Source: RefSeq, a predicted model, not a curated record